UGAAUACGAGAUGCUACGGCGUCGAAGCAGUCUAUGUCAUACUUCCAAGAAAAGCUCGCACUGUCAUAAACAAAUAAUGCCUGUACCAUAACCGACACAGGUGGGUAGGUAGAGUAUACUAAGGGGCGCGAGAUAACCCUCUCUAAGGAACUCGGCAAAAUGACUCCGUAACUUCGGGAGAAGGAGUGCCUUAUUUUUAUAAGGUUGCAAUAACAAGAUCCAAGCAACUGUUUACCAAAAACACAGGUCUCCGCUAAGUCGUAAGACGAUGUAUGGGGGCUGACGCCUGCCCAGUGCCAGAAGGUUAAAGAAGUUGGUUAGCAACCGCGAAGCUGAUAACUGAAGCCCUGGUGAACGGCGGCCGUAACUAUAACGGUCCUAAGGUAGCGAAAUUCCUUGUCGGGUAAGUUCCGACCCGCACGAAAGGCGUAAUGAUUUGGAUACUGUCUCGGAGAGGGGCUCGGUGAAAUAGACUUGUCUGUGAAGAUGCGGACUACCUGCACCUGGACAGAAAGACCCUAUGAAGCUUUACUGUAACUUGAAAUUGAAAUUGGACUUUACUUGCGCAGUAUAGGUGGGAGGCGUUGAAAAUACUCUUGCGGGAGUAUUGGAGCCAUCAGUGAGAUACCACUCUUGUAAUGUUAGAUUUCUAACUUUGGAUCAUUAUCUGGUCAAAGAACAGUUUCAGGCGGGCAGUUUGACUGGGGCGGUCGCCUCCUAAACGGUAACGGAGGCGCACAAAGGUUUCCUCUGAACGGGUAGAAAUCGUAUCUAGAGUGUAAAGGCAUAAGGAAGCUUGACUGUGAGACCUACAAGUCGAGCAGGGACGAAAGUCGGUCUUAGUGAUCUGACGGUGCUGAGUGGAAAGGCCGUCACUCAACGGAUAAAAGUUACUCUAAGGAUAACAGGCUGAUCUCCCCCAAGAGUUCACAUCGACGGGGAGGUUUGGCACCUCGAUGUCGGCUCAUCGCAUCCUGGGGCGGUAGUACGUCCCAAGGGUUGGGCUGUUCGCCCAUGAAAGCGGUACGCGAGCUGGGUUCAGAACGUCGUGAGACAGUUCGGUCCAUAUCCGGUGUAGGCGUUAGAAUAUUGAGAGGAGCCUUCUUUAGUACGAGAGGACCGAGAAGGACAUACCUCUGGUGUACCAGUUAUCGUGCCAACGGUAAACGCUGGGUAGCCAUGUAUGGAGUGGAUAACCGCUGAAAGCAUCUAAGUGGGAAGCCCACCUCAAGAUGAGUGCUCUCACAGGGUUAACCUGGUAAGGUCACGGGAAGACCACCCGUUAAUAGGCACUAGGUGGAAGUCCAGUAAUGGAUGGAGCCAAGGUGUACUAACAGACCGAGGGCUUGACC
Molecule: ribosomal RNA, 1352 nt
Filed under: metagenome
Description: bacterial LSU rRNA
Rfam family: Bacterial large subunit ribosomal RNA
Source: RNAcentral